UACGUAGGUGACAAGCGUUGUCCGGAUUUACUGGGCGUAAAGAGCGCGCAGGCGGUCGAUCAAGUCGAGUGUGAAAGCCCCCGGCUCAACUGGGGAGGGUCAUUCGAUACUGAUCGACUCGAAGGCAGGAGAGGGUAGUGGAAUUCCCGGUGUAGUGGUGAAAUUCGUAGAUAUCGGGAGGAACACCAGUGGCGAAGGCGGCGACCUGGGCAGAUACUGACACUGAGGUGCGAAAGCGUGGGGAGCAAACAGG
This 253-nucleotide ribosomal RNA is filed under the name uncultured bacterium. RNAcentral describes it as "partial 16S ribosomal RNA". It matches the Rfam family "Bacterial small subunit ribosomal RNA", at positions 524 to 776 of the family's 1533-position model. The record is from RNAcentral.